This 867-nucleotide ribosomal RNA is filed under the name Lamprotula leaii. RNAcentral describes it as "12S ribosomal RNA". The record is from RNAcentral. Lineage: Eukaryota; Metazoa; Mollusca; Bivalvia; Unionida; Unionidae.
GAAGCUAAUAUAGCAUUAUGGUUUCGACCCAUACUAUGAACACAAAGUUCCCUUUGCUGAUAUAACACUUCGCUUUGAUGACAAGUUAAUUACUACUAUCAAACCUCAUAUGGUAACCUAAGUGACUUGCGAAUCGUACCUUUGUGUAAAGCGUACGUUAAAUACGAAGCAGUACACAUCGUAACAUUGGAAAAUCAACCAAAGGCACCCGCCCGCAACACCAAUGAACUAUAUUGUAAAAGCUAGGGAACUAGGCAACAAGAAAAGUAAACCAAUAGUGACUAAUGGGGUGCCAGCAGUCGCGGUUAGACCCCAACUAAGAAUUAAUUCGCACAAUCAUCCGGGUACAAACCCACCAGCCUGACUUUAAACCAAAACCCAAAGGUGAAAUUUACACAAGACAGGCACACCCAAUCAAGUCAUCGCCUAAACGUACCCAACAAACCACACCCUACAAAACACGGAUUAGAUACCCGUCUACUGCGUGGCCCAACAACCAAAACUCUAAAAACGAAAGUUCCAAACUUAAAAAGCGUGGCGGUAUUCUACACUCUAUUAGGGGAUCCUGUGGCUUAAUUCGAUAACCCACGAACACCGAAGCUUUGUUAGUUAACAGCUUAUGUAUGGCCGUUUUAAGUCUGCACAUUAACAAAACAAAAGGAGACACCUAAAGCAAAACUUUAACAACACAGGUGACAUAUAGCCAACACAAAGCAGCUCAUGGGAUACAAAUGACCACAAUCAUCCGAAAAAGAAUGAAAUUUCUUAUAUCAAGGAGGACUUAAAAGUAAGGUUACAACAUUAUUACAACCUGAACAAGAACUAGAAUGCGCACAAAUCGCCCGUCACUCCCGGUACUUAAACUGG